Molecule: ribosomal RNA, 465 nt
Filed under: uncultured bacterium
Lineage: Bacteria
Description: partial 16S ribosomal RNA
Rfam family: Bacterial small subunit ribosomal RNA
Source: RNAcentral
GAUGAACGCUGGCGGCGUGCUUAACACAUGCAAGUCGAACGGAAAGGCCCCUGCUUGCGGGGGUCCUCGAGUGGCGAACGGGUGAGUAACACGUGGGUGAUCUGCCCUGCACUUCGGGAUAAGCCUGGGAAACUGGGUCUAAUACCGGAUAGGACCACAUUCUGGAUGGUGUGGUGGAAAGUUUUUCGGUGUGGGAUGAGCUCGCGGCCUAUCAGCUUGUUGGUGGGGUAAUGGCCUACCAAGGCGUCGACGGGUAGCCGGCCUGAGAGGGUGUACGGCCACAUUGGGACUGAGAUACGGCCCAGACUCCUACGGGAGGCAGCAGUGGGGAAUAUUGCACAAUGGGCGCAAGCCUGAUGCAGCGACGCCGCGUGGGGGAUGACGGCCUUCGGGUUGUAAACUCCUUUCGCUAGGGACGAAGCGCAAGUGACGGUACCUGGAGAAGAAGCACCGGCUAACUACGUG